GCAUUCGUAGCUCAGUUGGAUAGAGCAUUGCCCUCCGAAGGCAAAGGUCAUUGGUUCAAAUCCAAUCGAAUGCA
This 74-nucleotide transfer RNA is filed under the name Rickettsia prowazekii. RNAcentral's name for it is "tRNA Arg (CCG)". It matches the Rfam family "tRNA". From Rfam's summary of the family: Transfer RNA (tRNA) molecules are approximately 80 nucleotides in length. Their secondary structure includes four short double-helical elements and three loops (D, anti-codon, and T loops). Lineage: Bacteria; Pseudomonadati; Pseudomonadota; Alphaproteobacteria; Rickettsiales; Rickettsiaceae. The record is from RNAcentral. RNAcentral also lists the same sequence under 1 other name.